UCUUGAAAUAUAAAAAAAUUUGGCGGUAUCUUAGACUAUUUAGAGGAACCUGUCCUGUGAUUGAUAUUCCACGAUUUGAAAAACUUAUUUUAAUAGUUUGUAUAUCGCCGUAGGUUAAAUGUUUUAAAAGAAUUUUUAAAUGUUUAUGAUUUAAUAAGGAUAAAAGAAAACAGGUCAAGGUGUAGCUUAUAGAUAAGUAGAGAUGGGUUACAGUAAAUGUAUUUAUAUGGAUGGGUAUAUUUAAUUAUAUUUUGAAAGUGGAUUUAAGUGUAAUUUUAUUUAAAUAAAUAAUAUGAUUUUAGCUCUGGGAUAUGUACAUAUCGCCCGUCGCUUUCACUCUAAAGUGGAAUAAGUCGUAACAUAGUAGGCGUACUGGAAAGUGUGCCUAGAAAGUUCAAACUAAAGCUUUAAUAAGUAUUUUAUUUACACUAAAAAGUUUAUUGUUAAAACAAUAUAGUUUGAUUUUGAGUUUAUUAUUGAAUUAAUAAUUUAACUUUUUUUUUUUGAUAAAUAUAUUAUGUUUAAUUUUUAAUUAGGAAAAAAUUAAUGUAAUUUAUAGUGUAUUAGUAUUGUGAGAGAAUUAUUUAAAAAUGUAGUAAGAAAUAUUAAGUUUAUGUACCUUGUGUUUCAGGGUUUAUUAAAAAUAGAUUAAUUAUGUUAAGUUUCCCGAAUUUAAAAGAGCUAUUGAAAUAUAAGUAUUACUGUGGAACAAUUAUUCUUAAUAUUUUAAUUGAAGUGAAAUGCUAUUCGAUUUUAAAGAUAUCUGGUUUUUUAAGAAAUGAAUUUAAUUCAGUUUUUUGUUUAUUUUAAAUACAAUUUUUUGUAUCUAAAAUACAAUGAUUAAAUAUUAAAGGGGAUAAGCUUUUUGAUAGAUUUAUUAAAAAAAAAUUAGUCUGGAAGGUUAAUUAAUAAGUAGGAUUAUAGGUUUAUUUCUUUUUUAGUGUGUUGUAACUAUUUAAAUUAAAAUUAAGAUUUUUAUUGAAUUUUAAAUUUUUUAUUAAAAUAUUUUUUUAAAUAUAAUAAAAGAACUUAAAAUGAUAAAAUUAGUAUGAUACUGAUAAGAGAAUAGUAAAGUUGAAAUGUAAGUAAAUGAAAGGUUGAAUAAAGGAAUUCGGCAAAUUGAUUUCUUACCUGUUUAUUAAAAACAUGGCUUUUUGAGGUUAAUUUAAGGUCUGACCUGCCCAAUGAUUUACGGAUUAAAUGGCCGCGGUAAUUUGACCGUGCAAAGGUAGCAUAAUCAUUAGUUUUUUAAUUGGAAGCUGGAAUGAACGGUCGGAUAAAGAAAAAACUGUCUCUGUUUAAUUUUUUUUGAAAUUUAUUUUUAAGUAAGAAAGCUUAAAUUAUAUUAGAAGACGAGAAGACCCUAUAGAGUUUUACAGUAUUUGAUGAUAAGUUCUUAAGUAUUAAG
RNAcentral lists this ribosomal RNA (1408 nucleotides) under Dryophthorus sp. 1 NLG-2014. RNAcentral describes it as "partial 16S ribosomal RNA". The stretch from base 1 to 396 matches the Rfam family "Microsporidia small subunit ribosomal RNA", at positions 769 to 1311 of the family's 1311-position model. The record is from RNAcentral. Lineage: Eukaryota; Metazoa; Arthropoda; Insecta; Coleoptera; Curculionidae.